GGGUGCAGCAGGCGCGAAAACUCUACAAUGCAGGCAACUGCGAUAGGGGAACAUCGAGUGAUCCUCAUAUUGGGGGUCUGUCCCAUCGUCUAAAAAACGGUGGUUAGCAAGGGCCGGGCAAGACCGGUGCCAGCCGCUGCGGUAAUACCGGCGGCUCGAGUGGUGGCCGAUAUUAUUGAGUCUAAAGGGUCCGUAGCCGGCUUUGCAAGUCUCUCGGGAAAUCCAGCGGCUUAACCGUUGGUCGUCCGGGGGGUACUACAUUGCUUGGGACUGGGAGAGGUAGGAGGUACUCAGGGGGUAGGAGUGAAAUCCUGUAAUCCUCUGGGGACCACCGGUGGCGAAGGCGUCCUACCAGAACAGGUCCGACGGUGAGGGACGAAAGCUAGGGGCACGAACCGGAUUAGAUACCCGGGUAGUCCUAGCCGUAAACGAUGCUCGCUAGGUGUCACAACAGUCGUGAACUGUUGUGGUGCCGUAGGGAAGCCGUGAAGCGAGCCACUUGGGAAGUACGACCGCAAGGUUGAAACUUAAAGGAAUUGGCGGGGGAGCACAAGGGCGAAUCGCG
RNAcentral lists this ribosomal RNA (565 nucleotides) under uncultured archaeon. RNAcentral describes it as "bacterial SSU rRNA". It matches the Rfam family "Archaeal small subunit ribosomal RNA", at positions 328 to 897 of the family's 1478-position model. The record is from RNAcentral.